GAAGAACGAGGGCGGAGGGAGGAACACAGGCAAGUCGAACGGAAAGGCCUGCUUUCCCUUGUGGAUUGCGGGUACUCGAGUGGCGAACGGGUGAGUAACACGUGAGUGAUCUGCCCCCAACUUGGGUAUAAGCCUGGGAAACUGGGUCUAAUUCCCGAUAGGACUGCAGGGUGGUGCCUGUGGUGGAAAACGAUUUUCUAGUGGUUGGGGAUGAGCUCGCGGCCUAUCAGCUUGUUGGUGGGGUAAUGGCCGACCAAGGCGGCGACGGGUAGCCGGCCUGAGAGGGUUGACGGCCACAUUGGGACUGAGAUACGGCCCAGACUCCUACGGGAGGCAGCAGUGGGGAAUAUUGCACAAUGGGCGGAAGCCUGAUGCAGCGACGCCGCGUGGGGGAUGACGGCCUUCGGGUUGUAAACUCCUUUCGACCGCGAGGAAGCCACCUGGUUGGAAGGGUGGUGACGGUAGUGGUAGAAGAAGCACCGGCUACCUACGUG
This 494-nucleotide ribosomal RNA is filed under the name uncultured bacterium. Its description in RNAcentral is "partial 16S ribosomal RNA". It matches the Rfam family "Bacterial small subunit ribosomal RNA", at positions 31 to 507 of the family's 1533-position model. The record is from RNAcentral.